RNAcentral lists this ribosomal RNA (654 nucleotides) under uncultured Actinomycetes bacterium. Its description in RNAcentral is "bacterial SSU rRNA". It matches the Rfam family "Bacterial small subunit ribosomal RNA", at positions 77 to 746 of the family's 1533-position model. The record is from RNAcentral. Lineage: Bacteria; Bacillati; Actinomycetota; Actinomycetes.
UGCUUGCACUGGUACUCGAGUGGCGAACGGGUGAGUAACACGUGGGUGAUCUGCCCUGCACUUCGGGAUAAGCCUGGGAAACUGGGUCUAAUACCGGAUAGGACCACAUUUUGGAUGGUGUGGUGGAAAGUUUUUCGGUGUGGGAUGAGCUCGCGGCCUAUCAGCUUGUUGGUGGGGUAAUGGCCUACCAAGGCGUCGACGGGUAGCCGGCCUGAGAGGGUGUACGGCCACAUUGGGACUGAGAUACGGCCCAGACUCCUACGGGAGGCAGCAGUGGGGAAUAUUGCACAAUGGGCGCAAGCCUGAUGCAGCGACGCCGCGUGGGGGAUGACGGCCUUCGGGUUGUAAACUCCUUUCGCUAGGGACGAAGCGCAAGUGACGGUACCUGGAGAAGAAGCACCGGCUAACUACGUGCCAGCAGCCGCGGUAAUACGUAGGGUGCGAGCGUUGUCCGGAAUUACUGGGCGUAAAGAGCUCGUAGGUGGUUUGUCGCGUCGUUUGUGUAAGCCCGCAGCUUAACUGCGGGACUGCAGGCGAUACGGGCAUAACUUGAGUGCUGUAGGGGAGACUGGAAUUCCUGGUGUAGCGGUGGAAUGCGCAGAUAUCAGGAGGAACACCGAUGGCGAAGGCAGGUCUCUGGGCAGUAACUGACGC